GAUGAACGCUGGCGGCGUGCCUAAUACAUGCCAGUCGAGCGAACAGACGAGGAGCUUGCUCCUCUGACGUUAGCGGCGGACGGGUGAGUAACACGUGGAUAACCUACCUAUAAGACUGGGAUAACUUCGGGAAACCGGAGCUAAUACCGGAUAACAUGUUGAACCGCAUGGUUCAACAGUGAAAGACGGUCUUGCUGUCACUUAUAGAUGGAUCCGCGCCGCAUUAGCUAGUUGGUAAGGUAACGGCUUACCAAGGCAACGAUGCGUAGCCGACCUGAGAGGGUGAUCGGCCACACUGGAACUGAGACACGGUCCAGACUCCUACGGGAGGCAGCAGUAGGGAAUCUUCCGCAAUGGGCGAAAGCCUGACGGAGCAACGCCGCGUGAGUGAAGAAGGUCUUCGGAUCGUAAAACUCUGUUAUUAGGGAAGAACAAAUGUGUAAGUAACUAUGCACGCCUUGACGGUACCUAAUCAGAAAGCCACGGCUAACUACGUG
This 497-nucleotide ribosomal RNA is filed under the name uncultured bacterium. RNAcentral describes it as "partial 16S ribosomal RNA". It matches the Rfam family "Bacterial small subunit ribosomal RNA", at positions 28 to 507 of the family's 1533-position model. The record is from RNAcentral.